GUCUUAGUAAUUUAAUUAAAAUGUUGGUCUUGUAAACCAAAAAUAAGAAUUCUCUUCUAAUACU
RNAcentral lists this transfer RNA (64 nucleotides) under Glyptelasma sp. 1 ZG-2020. RNAcentral describes it as "tRNA-Thr". It matches the Rfam family "tRNA". From Rfam's summary of the family: Transfer RNA (tRNA) molecules are approximately 80 nucleotides in length. Their secondary structure includes four short double-helical elements and three loops (D, anti-codon, and T loops). The record is from RNAcentral. Lineage: Eukaryota; Metazoa; Arthropoda; Thecostraca; Poecilasmatidae.